AACUGUCUUUAUGAGAUGAGCUAUUCCCGGACAACUCACAGGUAUUACGUAAAAACACUAGACGGCCGAUUAAGAACUGGAUAAAGAUGUUUUGAUAACGGCUAUUGUUUGCUUAUUCUUAAUAAGAUUCUUAAAUAGAUUCCGGAAAUGUUCGAAAACGAAAUCGGGCCGACUAUAGGUAACAUAAAAAUAUUAACGUAUUUGUUGUUUGUGCAGGUGUGUGUCCAAACGUUUUGUUAACGCGUACCCGGAGACGUUUCGUUUGUCCUUAUUGCUGCGUCCUCGCGGACGCGGCGUUGUUCUUAAUUUUCGCAUCCCCGCACAGAAACACCGGGAACAAUUGUUUUCGGUUACAACCGAC
Molecule: non-coding RNA, 361 nt
Organism: Cinara cedri
Lineage: Eukaryota; Metazoa; Arthropoda; Insecta; Hemiptera; Aphididae
Source: the annotation of a GenBank genome assembly